RNAcentral lists this ribosomal RNA (510 nucleotides) under uncultured bacterium. RNAcentral's name for it is "partial 16S ribosomal RNA". It matches the Rfam family "Bacterial small subunit ribosomal RNA", at positions 28 to 507 of the family's 1533-position model. The record is from RNAcentral.
GACGAACGCUGGCGGCGUGCUUAACACAUGCAAGUCGAACGAAGAGCGAUGGAAGCUUGCUUCUAUCAAUCUUAGUGGCGAACGGGUGAGUCACGCGUAAUCAACCUGCCCUUCAGAGGGGGACAACAGUGGGAAACGACUGCUAAUACCGCAUACGAUCUAAUCUCGGCAUCGAGGAUAGAUGAAAGGUGUCCUCUACAUGUAAGCUAUCACUGAAGGAGGGGAUUGCGUCUGAUUAGGUAGUUGGUGGGGUAACGGCCCACCAAGGCGAUGAUCAGUAGCCGGUCUGAGAGGAUGGACGGCCACAUUGGGACCGAGGCACGGCCCAGACUUCUACGGGAGGCAGCAGUGGGGAAUCUUCCGGAAUGGAGGAAAGUCUGACGGAGCAACGCCGCGGGAGUGAAGACGGCCCUCGGGUUGUAAAGCUCUGUUAAUCGGGACGAAAGGACUUCUUGCGAAUAGGGAGAAGGAUUGACGGUACCGGAAUAGAAAGCCACGGCUAACUACGUG